This 460-nucleotide ribosomal RNA is filed under the name uncultured bacterium. Its description in RNAcentral is "partial 16S ribosomal RNA". It matches the Rfam family "Bacterial small subunit ribosomal RNA", at positions 338 to 795 of the family's 1533-position model. The record is from RNAcentral.
CCUACGGGUGGCAGCAGUGAGGAAUAUUGGUCAAUGGACGCAAGUCUGAACCAGCCAUGCCGCGUGCAGGAAGACGGCUCUAUGAGUUGUAAACUGCUUUUGUACGAGGGUAAACGCAGAUACGCGUAUCUGUCUGAAAGUAUCGUACGAAUAAGGAUCGGCUAACUCCGUGCCAGCAGCCGCGGUAAUACGGAGGAUUCAAGCGUUAUCCGGAUUUAUUGGGUUUAAAGGGUGCGUAGGCGGUCGGAUAAGUUAGAGGUGAAAUCCCGGGGCUCAACUGUGGAAUUGCCUUUGAUACUGGUAGGCUAGAGAAUAGUAGAGGUAGGCGGAAUGUAUGGUGUAGCGGUGAAAUGCUUAGAGAUCAUGCAGAACACCGAUUGCGAAGGCAGCUUACCGGGCUACUUCUGACGUUGAGGCACGAAAGCGUGGGGAGCAAACAGGAUUAGAUACCCUUGUAGUC